AUUGAACGCUGGCGGCAUGCCUUACACAUGCAAGUCGAACGGUAACAGGUCUUCGGAUGCUGACGAGUGGCGAACGGGUGAGUAAUACAUCGGAACGUGCCUAGUAGUGGGGGAUAACUACUCGAAAGAGUGGCUAAUACCGCCUGAGAUCUACGGAUGAAAGCAGGGGAUCGCAAGACCUUGUGCUACGAGAGCGGCCGAUGGCAGGUUAGGUAGUUGGUGGGAUAAAAGCUUACCAAGCCGACGAUCUGUAGCUGGUCUGAGAGGACGAUCAGCCACACUGGGACUGAGACACGGCCCAGACUCCUACGGGAGGCAGCAGUGGGGAAUUUUGGACAAUGGGCGCAAGCCUGAUCCAGCAAUGCCGCGUGCAGGAUGAAGGCCUUCGGGUUGUAAACUGCUUUUGUACGGAACGAAAAGCCCUGGGUUAAUACCCUGGGGUCAUGACGGUACCGUAAGAAUAAGCACCGGCUAACUACGUGCCAGCCGCCGCAGUAA
RNAcentral lists this ribosomal RNA (498 nucleotides) under uncultured bacterium. RNAcentral's name for it is "partial 16S ribosomal RNA". It matches the Rfam family "Bacterial small subunit ribosomal RNA", at positions 30 to 523 of the family's 1533-position model. The record is from RNAcentral.